AAAAAAUUAAUUGGUGAGAGGAACUUUCGAUACUUAUCGGAAAAGCCAUUUUUUCCGUUCAAAUUGGUGGUGGCGGCGGAGGAUACAGCGGAGUUGGUGGUGCUACUGGUGGUCACCGGGAAAAAAUUUAAUGUUUACCCACCAGGGUUUCGCCGGAAAACAUGGCCGGAACUAGCCGUGUUUGAUCUGAUCUGAUUGUACCCAUUUUUUGAGCUUUUUCUCAUCAUAUAUCGUCUUUUUUGCUACGUAUUCUCAGGAAAGGCUAGUUGAUGUGAUCAAUAGAGAUGUCGUUCAAGAGCAUUGUCCGCGAGCUG
RNAcentral lists this unclassified non-coding RNA (314 nucleotides) under Hevea brasiliensis (rubber tree). Lineage: Eukaryota; Viridiplantae; Streptophyta; Magnoliopsida; Malpighiales; Euphorbiaceae. The record is from RNAcentral.